RNAcentral lists this ribosomal RNA (253 nucleotides) under uncultured bacterium. Its description in RNAcentral is "partial 16S ribosomal RNA". It matches the Rfam family "Bacterial small subunit ribosomal RNA", at positions 524 to 776 of the family's 1533-position model. The record is from RNAcentral.
GACGAACCGAGCGAACGUUGUUCGGAAUCACUGGGCUUAAAGGGCGCGUAGGCGGGCUGCCAAGUCCGUGGUGAAAUCCCCCGGCUCAACCGGGGAAGGGCCUCGGAUACUGGCGGCCUCGAGGGGGGUAGGGGCGUGCGGAACUGUGGGUGGAGCGGUGAAAUGCGUUGAUAUCCACAGGAACUCCGGUGGCGAAGGCGGCACGCUGGACCCCAUCUGACGCUGAGGCGCGAAAGCCAGGGGAGCGAACAGG